UAGGGCGUUUCCUCGGCUGCGAGGUCCACCCGAGACGAUAAACACCCGUGGUUUCUUUUAAGAAAGGCGACGGUUGACUUAGCUGUGGACCGGUGGCUAAGUUAGCUUAGCUAGCAACUGGCGACGGGGUCUUUAAACCGUCUAUCCAUCUUUACUGAACACUGGGCUUCUUUUCCUAGAAAGCAGCGUGUAUUUUUCUCUGAAUGCGUGUCUAACGCAACAACAAUAUGCGUUAAUUGUAUAUUUUCCUGUAAGGUAACAUUAAUGACAAAAGAAGUACUUUUAGGAGCUGAAUCUUUUAUCGUCGAGCGGUUGUCAGUGUGAGUGAUCGUCAUCUACAAAGGCGGCGUGUUUAGCACCCGAAAUCACUCCACUCCUAUCUGAUAUUUUAAUAUCUUUAUCCGCUUUAAAUACGGACCGCGUUGUGUCGCGGGAGAUUGUUUACGGGGAUGUCGCUGGACUUUUAACGUAUUUCCACUCCCGGAGCAACUUCCCCUUAUGGUGACACAUUGUUAAGCGUGGCCCGGUAAUAUUGUGUUAAAAUAUAAAACGGGUAGAUAAUGUGUAACUUAUAAACAGGGGCUUUAUUGUGUUGUUUUUCUUUUGACGCGAAAGGCGACGUUUGAGAACAAGGACCUUGUUAUGGUGGUCUUUUUGAUUGACAGCCGUAGAAAUUUAAAUCCCCCCCCCCUCUCCUUGCCAUGCGCAUGGCCUGGGGGGCUCCUCUAGUGGUGAGAAUGGGAACUGCGCGUAGGACUUUUUGUUCUGUUUGGUUGUUUUGAGCUGUGCAAAACAUUAGCAAAAAAAUGUUUUACUCAUUUAUUUAGUAUAAUUGGACUCAAUAUUGAACUCAAUUGUCCGAAUUAGAGAUAAUGUUUCAAAAUGCUACAAAUUCUAAAGCAGCUAUAUAUUAUCCCUCCUCUUGUGUUAGGGUCGGCAUUGACCCGUUUUACAUUAUAAUGCAUAAAAAGAAUCACAUAACAUUUGUUUAUUGCAUCAAGGCUUUUUCACUUUGUCAGGAAACGCUAUUUCAACAAAAUAAAACCAAAAAAAUAAUUUUUACUACAUUUUAAAAUGGUCUAGUUGAAAUUCUGACCACUGUCCGGUUAUAAUAAUAUGACUAUAAAGCAGAGGUAGGGAACCUAUGGCUCGGGAGCCAGGUAGGGCUCGUUUGAUGACUGUAUCUGGCUCUCAAGCAUUUCUUACCACAAUAAAAAUGCAUUUUUGCUAACAUUUUAAAGUAAACCAUCACAGAAAUGACUGUUAAAAAUAAUAUUCAAAAUCAACAACUUUCUUAUGCAUUUUAAUCCACCCAUCUAUAUUCUACUGCAAUACGGCCAACCAUAUCUAUCUUUCCUGAUGAUAUUUUCCAGGUCAAACACCAAAACUUGAUUAUUACUGGGUAAUGCUGUAGUCUACCUCGGUCAUUGAGAUGUCAAAAAAACAUGUAAAUGUAAACUUUCCUCCUUUAGUCAAAUAGCUAAAGCUGCAGAACCAAGCCUUCUGGUGAAGAUGGCCAAAAGAAUGAAAUACGUGUACUGAAUACGGUUCAAAACUAUGCAGCAGCAGAAGUUGCAUUAAUGGCAGCAAGUAUUUGAUUUAUUAUUAGACACUGCGCUGCUCACGAAAGUAUGCUGGCCACACCCCCUUGGCGUGGGGUAGUGUGCCUGGUCUACAUAAUUAGAGCCCAUUAUAUCUAAAACUGUUGGUCUUACAUAAAAAUGCACACAUUGUAUUGCAUUCAAAAUGUAUAUGGCUCUCACAGAUACACAUUUUAAAAUAUCUGGCCUUCAUGGCUCUCUUAGCCAAAAAGGUUCCCGACCCCUGCUAUAAAGCAAUAUUUUGUAGCCACAACUGAAAUCAUAAGUGCACAAUUAGCCAACACAAUGACAACCAGCUCAUUUUCUCAUCAUGUAAGCUUCAGGGGAUUCUCAUUUUGACCGUUUUUCCCGUUUACCAUGUGAGAUGAAUUCACUCAUUAGAAUGGCUGAUUUCACAUUUACAAUUUGGAUCAUGGAGAAAAAAAAACGACAAGAAGUACAGUGAACCAGGAUCUGGACCUUUGGAUAACUUUUUCUAACUUGUCUUGACAUUAAUAUAUAUGGGUCAAAAUUCACCCCAACACCAUAGAUGUUUCUUUAGUGAUUAAUACUAACAUGAGAAAAUAAAUAAUUGAUUUAAGAGAUAUGUUCUAUAGCGCUCAGUAAUAACCAGGAAACAAAAUAACCUUCAAUUUAUGAAUAUGAUUCUAUUGAGGUUCAUUUUACCGUUUUUGGAAAUUGAAAUCGAGGGGUUAAGUGACCAAAAAAAAGGCCUACAUGCCCACACCAAAAGUAUUAAAACCAACAUUUUUAUGGAUGAGGAAGCCUAAGAAGGUAACCAAGACAUGAGAACCAAAUUUGAUGGUAACUUAUUGUUUUUAGCGUAUUUUAUAUUUUAUAGCUGAUUUAAUACAUGGGUCAAAAGCAACCCGGUAACAUAAGAGAUGAUACCAGAAAGCUAACACAAGAGGAAGGAUAUACAUGCACGUAUUCGCCAACAUUAAUUCGUCACUUGUCAUACUUUCAAGCCAACUUAGUCACGUCGAGCGCUCCCUUCCGUGUGACUCAUUGUGUCGUUACGCAACAUUAUUGUGCGUGUGGAUCGGAUUAUUAAGUUAAUUGGCACACACAUGCCAGGGAAGUUCAUUUCGGGCCUUGAGGUCACAACCGCCGCAAAGCUUGCGUCACUCGUAAUUGAGUAACCGGGCUUUAAAGUCCGUGUUAGUUGUAUCCUCUGACACGUGUCAUCACAAGCAUUCACCGUGACCUGGGAGAAGUCGGCUCGAAAUAAAGCCGCUUGUAUCCCGCCCUCAAACGGGAGAAACGUAACCCUUGGAACGGACUAAGAAGCGUGGUCUUGUACCACAAGGCGUUUAUUACGUACAUCAUGUUUAACCCUUAGAUGCAUAAGUGGGUCAAAAAUGACCCGCUCAGGUUGUUUUCUUGAAAUAUCUUUAUAAUGAAAAUUUUUUAUCAUUUCAUAUUCAAGGUAUUCCUCAAAAAACACGUUUUUGAUAUCAUGCCAUUCACAUUUUUAAGUUAUCUUUUAAACAUUUUAAGAAAUUUUUGUUUUUGUGUUGCUACCCCCAACCUUCCAUAAAUGGGUCAAAAUGACCCGGUCAGGUUGUUUUCUUUGUAAUUAAAGUUUUUUUAUCAUUUCAUAUUCCAGGUAUUCCUCAAAAAACACGUUUUUGAUAUCAUACCAUUCACAUUUUUAACUUACCUUUCAUAAAUUUUAAGAAAUUUUAGUUUUUGUGUUACUACCCCAACCUUCCAUAAGUGGGUCAAAAAUGACCCGGUGAGGUUGUUUUCUUGAAAUAUCUUUGUAAUUAAAUUUUUUUUAUCAUUUCAUAUUCCAGGUAUUCCUCGAAAAACACAUGUUUGAUAUCACGUCAUUCACAUUUUUAACUUACCUUUUAUACAUUUUAAGAAAUUUUAGUUUUUGUGUUACUACCCCAACCUUCCAUAAGUCAGGUUGUUUUCUUAAAAUAUGUUCGUAAUGAAAAUUAUCAUUUCAUAUUCCAGGUAUUCCUCAAAAAACACAUUUUUGAUAUCAUGCCAUUCACAUUUUUAACUUACCUUUUAUACAUUUUAAGAAAUUUUAGUUUUUGUGUUACUACCCCAACCUUCCAUAAGUGGGUCAAAAAUGACCCGGUCAGGUUGUUUUCUUUGUAAUUAAAGUUUUUUUUAUCAUUUCAUAUUCCAGGUAUUCCUCAAAAAACACAUUUUUGAUAUCAUGCCGUUCACAUUUUUAACUUACCUUUUAUACAUUUUAAGAAAUUUUAGUUUUUGUGUUACUACCCCAACCUUCCAUAAGUGGGUCAAAAAUGACCCGGUCAGGUUGUUUUCUUUAAAUAUCUUUGUAAUGAAAUUUUUUUAUCAUUUCAUAUUCCAGGUAUUCCUCAAAAAACACGUUUUUGAUAUCAUGCCAUUCACAUUUUUAACUUACCUUUUAUACAUUUUAAGAAUUUUUUGUUUUUGUGUUACUACCCCAACCUUCCAUAAGUGGGUCAAAAAUGACCCGGUCAGGUUGUUUUCUUGAAAUAUCUUCAUAUAAAACAUUUUUAUCAUUUCAUAUUCCAGGUAUUCCUCAAAAACAUGUUUUGAUAUCAUGGCAUUCACAUUUUUAACUUACCUUUUAUACAUUUUAAGAAUUUUUUGUUUUUGUGUUACUACCCCAACCUUCCAUAAGUCAGGUUGUUUUCUUAAAAUAUCUUCGUAAUGAAAAUUGUUAUCAUUUCAUAUUCCAGGUAUUCCUCAAAAAAACACAUUUUUGAUAUCAUGCCAUUCACAUUUUUAACUUACCUUUUAUACAUUUUAAGAAUUGUUUGUUUUUGUGUUACUACCCCAACCUUCCAUAAGUGGGUCAAAAAUGACCCGGUCAGGUUGUUUUCUUGAAAUAUCUUUGUAAUGAAAAAUUGUUAUCAUUUCAUAUUCCAUUUAUUCCUCAAAAACAUGUUUUUGAUUUAAAAAAAAAAGUGAAAAAUGAAGAUGUUUCUAACAUGAAAUAAUUCUUGUGUGAUCCUAAAUAUAAUACAAAAUAUCAUACAAGUGAUUAUUCCUAACCAAAAUGGCAAAAUUGGCAUAAAAAGGCAUUGAUUCUAGUAUGGGUCAUUUUUGACCCGCUUAUGGAAGAGUGUAGGGUCCAGUCACUCGUGCAUCUAAGGGUUAAACUUUAAAUAAUAUAUAUAUAUUCUAGUAUAUUUCUAUGGUUUCAUGAACGACACAUACUGGCGCUUUUUAAUCCUCUUUUCCCCAAAAGGAUGUCAGGAAGUUAGUAAGCUUAGCGCGGCUAGCGGCUGUGUUUAUAUUUGGGUGAGACGCUUGCUUUAUCACAAGCCAUAACAGGAUUGUUCCCGGUUGUGUUGCUCCAAGCCCGUUUGCAUGUUCUGGGAAUCGUCAGCAGGCCGGGGUUGACUCGGGUGACUCGGGUGGAUGCCGGGACAGAGGGAGGUGAUUGAUGGGUGUAAGACAGAGCCAAGUUCGUUGUGUCGUCAGUCAAUGUCGUGCGCUAAAGAGAGAUGGAUCGUCAGUGCGGAGUGACUUUUUUUUCGUGAGCGGACGGACGCCUCCUCCUCCUCAGCUUCAUCCGUUUAGGUGCGGGGCGUGCGGCUCCUGGUCAAAGCUGUGUUUACCUUCAUUAGCAGGGCAGCAACACCACUUAUUUUGGCUUCAUGGGUGUUGAUUUUGGGAUUGCUGCCAGGUGUGUAAAUAUAUAUAUAAAUACAUUUUUUUCAGCUUUUACCUGUCUAGAGUCACCACCGGUGAGUGUUUACGCCAGAUGGAAUGGAACCAUGUCCUCUGCAGUGAAAGUUGGAAGUGCAAAUGGUUUCACAUGUGGAUAUCCUCCUGAAUGUGAGGAAAGCAGUGUUUACUGGUUCAAUUGUUGGGAGUUAUCACUAAAUCCAAUCCACUUUAUUUAUAUAUAUUUAUAUAGCACAUUUUAUAAACAAAGUUUCCAAAGUGCUGCACAGACUAGUAAAAUAAAAAGUAAAAAUAAAAUACAAUAAAUUAAAGGUAUAUAUUUGAAUUUAAUCCAAAACAAAAAGAUCAAAUAAGAAAUAAAAUAGUAAAAUAGAUAUUCAAAUAUUACAAACAAGAAGCAAAGCAAUAAAAGUAUAAAAAAUAAAACCAAUUAAAAUAAAAAGAAAGGUUGGUGUUAUCAGCAAAUCCAAUCCAAUCCACUUUAUUUAUAUAGCACAUUUUAUAAACAAAGUUUCCAAAGUGCUGCACAGACUAGUAAAAUAAAAAGUAAAAAUUAAAUACUAUAAUAAAUAAAGGUACAAAUUGAAUUUAAUCCAAAACUAAAAGAUCAAAUAAGAAAUAAAAAUAGUAAAAAUAGAUAUAAAAAUAUUAAAAACAAGAAGCAAAGCAAAAAAAGUAUAAAAAAUAAAAACAAUUAAAAUAAAAAGAAAGAUUGGAGUUAUCAGCAAAUCCAAUCCACUUUAUUUAUAUAGCAUAUUUUAUAAACAAAGUUUCCAAAGUGCUGCACAGACUAGUAAAAUAAAAAGUAAAAAUAAAAUACAAUAAAUAAAGGUACAAAUUGAAUUUAAUCCAAAACUAAAAGAUCAAAUAAGAAAUAAAAAUAGAUAUAAAAAUAUUAAAACCAAGAAGCAAAGCAAUAAAAGUAUAAAAAAUAAAACCAAUUAAAAUAAAAAGAAAGAUUGGAGUUAUCAGCAAAUCCAAUCCACUUUAUUUAUAUAUAUUUAUAUAGCACAUUUUAUAAACAAAGUUUCCUAAGUGCUGCACCGACUAGUAAAAUAAAAAGUAAAAAUAAAAUACAAUAAAUAAAGGUAUAUAUUUGAAUUUAAUCCAAAACUAAAAGAUCAAAUAAGAAAUAAAAAUAGUAAAAAUAGAUAUAAAAAUAUUAAAACCAAGAAGCAAAGCAAUAAAAGUAUAAAAAAUAAA
Molecule: non-coding RNA, 6449 nt
Organism: Doryrhamphus excisus (bluestripe pipefish)
Lineage: Eukaryota; Metazoa; Chordata; Actinopteri; Syngnathiformes; Syngnathidae
Source: RefSeq, a predicted model, not a curated record